AUGUUCUCGUUCGGUGGAGGAACCAGACUGGAUGUUGGAAGUGAUGUCCGUCCCACCCUGACGGUGCUGCCCCCCUCCAGCGAGGAGCUGCAGCAGGGGAAGGCCACGCUCAUGUGUCUGGCCAACGAUGGCUUCCCCUCAGACUGGAGUCUGGCCUGGAAGGUGGACGGCAGCAGCAGCAGCAGCUUGGAGCAGAGCAGGAGCCCCGGGGUGCUGCAGAAGGACGGCCGCUACAGCUGGAGCAGCACCCUGAGGCUCCCUGCAGACCAGUGGAGGAAGGUGGUCUCUGUGACCUGUGAGGCCACCCAGGGCUCCCAGACUCCAGUCUCAGAGACACUGAGGAGAGACCAGUGUUCCCAGUCCUGA
This is a non-coding RNA of Thunnus maccoyii (southern bluefin tuna), 366 nucleotides long. NCBI's taxonomy places the organism in Eukaryota, Metazoa, Chordata, Actinopteri, Scombriformes, Scombridae. The record is from the annotation of a RefSeq genome assembly.